UACAGGACGAGCCAGCUGUUCGUCGAUUGACUGGGCGUAAAGCGCACGCAGGCGGACGCGCGCGUGGGGUGUGAAAUCUGGCCGCUUAACGGCCAGGCGCCAUCCCAUACGGCGCGUCUGGAGUGAUGCAGAGGUCGGUGGAAUUGCCGGUGUAGUGGUGAAAUGCGUAGAGAUCGGCAGGAACACCCAGGGGGAAACCAGCCGACUGGGCAUCUACUGACGCUGAGGUGCGAGAGCGUGGGGGAGCGAACCGG
Molecule: ribosomal RNA, 254 nt
Filed under: uncultured bacterium
Lineage: Bacteria
Description: partial 16S ribosomal RNA
Rfam family: Bacterial small subunit ribosomal RNA
Source: RNAcentral